This 19-nucleotide unclassified non-coding RNA is filed under the name Mus musculus (house mouse). RNAcentral's name for it is "RNA-C-3GC-uucg from Mus musculus (PDB 8I43, chain A)". The record is from RNAcentral. Lineage: Eukaryota; Metazoa; Chordata; Mammalia; Rodentia; Muridae.
GGACGCUUUCGAGCCGUCC